Molecule: unclassified non-coding RNA, 2943 nt
Filed under: Hevea brasiliensis (rubber tree)
Lineage: Eukaryota; Viridiplantae; Streptophyta; Magnoliopsida; Malpighiales; Euphorbiaceae
Source: RNAcentral
UUAAAAAAAAAAAAAAAAAACACGAAAACCACGAAGAAGAGAGCCACCGUUCCUUUCUUCCUUCCCUUUUUUUUCUUUCUUCCAUACAUUUUUUUUUUCUGUCAACACAUUCUAAAAUAUAUUUUCUGUAUAGGGCCUUGCGAAAUUUGCUGGGCGUGGGUUUGGGUGGGUUCCAGCAAUGCCUCUGUUGAAGAAAAAGCCGUUCACUUUGUUGGAACCACCCAAGGAUUUGAAGCCUCAUGAACUUGUAUAUCAAGUUCGCUUCACGAAGGAGAUAUUUCGGGAUUAUCAGAUGUAUUUGAACCGAACAAAUUUAUAUCGGCAGAGAACUUGGAGUUGCAAAAUUAGUGGAAAAGCUAACUUGACUUUUGAAGAGGCUUUGGUGUCUGAAAAGCAUGUGGCAGAGAAGGUUCAAGAGAUACCCAAAGUGCUUGUGGCACCUGCAUUGCAUAUUAUACAAUAUAGUAUGCUUUCAUUGAAAGAUCUUGCAGACACUAUAGCAACAAAGCUGCAAGAAAAUUUGUUUGUAGGUGCAGAAUUGCAUGGAGAAAGAGGUGGUGGUCUCUGUCCUUGCAAGAUAGUAAAGGUGCUGGACGAGGGUACUGUUAAAACCCAAUAUGAGGUAGCAUGGCUUGAUAAGGAUAAUAAAAUAUUGGAAACUUCGGUUGCAAAAAGAGAUGAUUUAAUAUGGAAGAAGUUUCCUUUUAGUAGAAGCAUUUUGAAGUCUUUUAUUCGUGAGUCAACAUACCGAAGUGCUCCUUGGGUGCUUCAUAACAAUUUGGCACAGAAGCAUGGAAUCUCAUGUGACCCACCGCCAGAGUUAAAAGGCAAAGUUUUCAUAGUGGAUGGACGAGUGAUCUCCAAUAAGAAAAGAAAAGAUAUAGAAGAUAGAAAAAAUGAAGCGGAUGUAGAUAAGGAAUAUGGAAAACAUAAAAAGAAGAAAGUGGAGGGUGAGGAAGUUGAAGCAACAAGCAAGGAAAGAAAUGGUAAGAGUGGUGGAUUUCGGCUAUUAUAAUGCCUGUUCAAAUUUUGUCUGCCGCUUGACUUUUGUUCUGCAGUGUACCUGUUACAUUCUUCUCUGCCUAAGAUUUUUUGUCCAAGCAUUCUUUUGUUCAUCCAAUCUUCUAUUUGUGCAAGCGAUUUGACUAAACUUGCUCCUGUGACAUGAGUUGACUAAACACCAUGUAGGGUCAUGAGUCUCUAAUAAAUGGUUAUUUGUACGUAUUUACUAUUUUUUGAACUUGCAGAAGACAAUCAACCAUUGCGAGAUCCCAUCACAUAUCCCAUCGAUGAUCUGUUGGUGCAGCCUGGGGCAGAUGAUCCAGUCUUCACUGACCGUCCUUCCCCUUCAAGAGACUUUAACAUUCAGAUGGAUUGUGUUGGUGAUCUUUUAAUGGUUUGGGAUUUUUGCUCCUCUUUUGGUAGGAUGUUGCACUUAUGGCUGUUCUCUCUUGAAGAUUUUGAAAAUGCUAUCCGCCAUAAGGAUAGUAAUUUGAUUCUUAUUUUUGAAACACAUUCUGCUCUUCUGCGGCUACUUAUAAAAGACAAUAGUGAAUAUUUUUCAGCUGUACCGAAAAGAAACCAGAAGUUCAAGAUAACAUUAAUUAAUUGGACAGAGUAUUUGUGUGAUUUCAUAGAAAAGAUCAAUAUUCCUGAUCUAUCCACAAAUGUAUCGACAAUUAAGCGUGGGCACUAUGGUCUCUUAGAUGUUAAAGCUAAAUUGUGGAUCCUUCGAGAAUUGGUUAAUCAAGUCCUUGAAACAGAUCUUGUCAGGGAAAAGUUGGAUAAUCAUAUUGAACAGAGACAGAUGCUUGGAGCCAUAAGGAGGGGGGAAGCACUGGAGGAAGGUAGAAAAAGAAGACAAGAAAAGGACAAAUUUAAAGUUGAUUCUGUUGAUGAUAAAGUGAUGAAUGGAGAAAGUAUGGAAAGUGCAGGAAACAAUCCAAAUGCAUUGGCAAAUGAGAACCAUCAUAACGAAAAUGGAGAGAUCGCAGAGAAAAGAAAGGGGGAGUCCAUUUCAGCUCCAGAAAAACAUGCAUCGUAUAAAAGUGAGAGCUGCCACUCAGACAUUGCACCAAAGAAAAUGAAGCAAAAUAUGGGUUUGGAAGUCUUGGAAGAAAAUACAAAAAAUUCAUCUAGCAAAAUGGGAGCUAAACAGUUGAAGAAUGAGAAGAAGGAAACAGUAGAAAGGAGAAGCAAAGAGCAAAGGGACGAAUAUUAUGAACGGGAGAUGGAGAAACUAGUCUUACGCACCAAUUCAUUGGGUAAAGACAGACACUACAAUAGGUAUUGGUGGUUCCGACGUGAUGGGAGGAUCUUUGUUGAGAGUUCUGACUCCAAGCUAUGGGGCUAUUAUUGUUGCAAGGAAGAGCUUGAUGUAUUGAUGGGUUCAUUGAACCGUAAGGGUGAGAGAGAGAAGGCUCUUCAUAAACAGCUGAAGAAAUUCUACAGCAGAAUAUGCUUAGAACUACAGAAGAGAUCAAAAGAUUUGGCUCACAAGAUCGCAUUGGAGGAGGCGGUGCUUCGGAGAUCUACUCGUGUACGAGCUCUGCCAAGGGAAAAUCCUACUAAUGCUUUCCUUGGGUAUGUUAACAAGUGGAAGGAAGACUAGCUAGUAGGUCCCGUCAUCUCGUUUUAGGCAGAUCUCAUACACAUCUCUUUUAGGCUCACUGGAAAUAGGAAUUUUUCGGUGACUAAGUUUGCUGAUUCAUUAUUUUGUUGGUGGGAAUUUGGGGGUUUUGAAGUGGCCACCAAGAGGAACAUGGAUGAAAAGGUUUUGAUUUUAUAAUCCAUGUUAUAACUAUGCCUCAAUUUUUGUAAUUGACCUUGUUCAACAUUUUAGAAUUUACAUGGUUUAUGUUUAUGUUCUUUAUUCAUUUUGAAUGAGAUUAUGCAAACUUGAUUGGCUAUGUUAGUAUAAAAGGGAUCUUGAUGAAACAAAAU